GUUUGGCGGGGUCUUUGUCUCUCGCUGGCGCUGGCAUAGGAGUUUGGGAUCCGUCUCCUUUUACUCCUCCUCCACCUUGGGAGCCCUGGGCUACUCUCUUACAGCCCCUGUUGCCCUGUGAUCUGUAGGUUAUUGGGGACGCAUAGUUAGGGCAUCAGGACAUCCUGGAAGCUGGGAAAUGAUAUGUAUUCAUUUCCUACCACCGUAGUGGAAGAAGACUAUCCCUAUCUUUACACUGAUAGCAUUUCCAACAGUAAGCUGUGAGAUUCUGCUUGAAAUCACCUCUCAAACAAAUAAAAAACAGACCUGGGAAACUGCUACACUCAUUCUGCUGAAGAAAUAGCAUCCAGUUGCCUGGCCUGCAAUGUGUCUCUAAGGAAUGGAAACUAAGCGUUGGGGCAUCAUACUGGGGAAACAGGGAUUCAAAAGACCCAGGCUGUUCCCUACAUAUGUUUCCUCCUCGACAUCAGUUCAUCAGUCAAUCAAGUCAUGUGAGAGUGGAGGCCUGUAUUCCCUAUUAUUUUGGGCACUCUCCUCCAAGGAGGAAAGGCCAGGA
RNAcentral lists this long non-coding RNA (556 nucleotides) under Pan troglodytes (chimpanzee). RNAcentral's name for it is "lincRNA". The record is from RNAcentral. Lineage: Eukaryota; Metazoa; Chordata; Mammalia; Primates; Hominidae.